This 438-nucleotide ribosomal RNA is filed under the name uncultured bacterium. RNAcentral describes it as "bacterial SSU rRNA". It matches the Rfam family "Bacterial small subunit ribosomal RNA", at positions 338 to 773 of the family's 1533-position model. The record is from RNAcentral.
CCUACGGGGGGCAGCAGUGAGGAAUAUUGGUCAAUGGGCGUAAGCCUGAACCAGCCAAGUCGCGUGAGGGAUGAAGGAUCUAUGGUUCGUAAACCUCUUUUAUAAGGGAAUAAAGUGCGGGACGUGUCCUGUUUUGUAUGUACCUUAUGAAUAAGGAUCGGCUAACUCCGUGCCAGCAGCCGCGGUAAUACGGAGGAUCCGAGCGUUAUCCGGAUUUAUUGGGUUUAAAGGGUGCGUAGGCGGCCUUUUAAGUCAGCGGUGAAAGUCUGUGGCUCAACCAUAGAAUUGCCGUUGAAACUGGGGGGCUUGAGUAUGUUUGAGGCAGGCGGAAUGCGUGGUGUAGCGGUGAAAUGCAUAGAUAUCACGCAGAACCCCGAUUGCGAAGGCAGCCUGCCAAGCCAUGACUGACGCUGAUGCACGAAAGCGUGGGGAUCGAAC